ACGAAGGGUGCAAGCGUUACUCGGAAUUACUGGGCGUAAAGCGUGCGUAGGUGGUUCGUUAAGUCUGCCGUGAAAGCCCCGGGCUCAACCUGGGAAUGGCGGUGGAUACUGGCGGACUAGAGUGCGGUAGAGGGUGGUGGAAUUCCGGGUGUAGCGGUGGAAUGCGUAGAGAUCCGGAAGAACACCGGUGGCGAAGGCGGCCUGCUGGGCAGUAGCUGACGCUGAGGCGCGACAGCGUGGGGAGCAAACAGGA
Molecule: ribosomal RNA, 253 nt
Filed under: uncultured prokaryote
Description: partial 16S ribosomal RNA
Rfam family: Bacterial small subunit ribosomal RNA
Source: RNAcentral